GCAGACACAUUCCAGCCAAUCAGCAGCAGACCCUCCCUCCCAGACCCUCCCACCUCCUGGACAGCAUCCAUUUUACAUUCAUUGUGAAGCUGCAUUCAUAGUGAGCUGUCCAGGAGGUGGGAGGGUCUGGGAGGGAGGGUCUGCUGCUGAUUGGCUGGAAUGUGUCUG
RNAcentral lists this microRNA precursor (168 nucleotides) under Pelobates cultripes (western spadefoot toad). Lineage: Eukaryota; Metazoa; Chordata; Amphibia; Anura; Pelobatidae. The record is from RNAcentral.